Molecule: non-coding RNA, 30 nt
Filed under: Drosophila erecta
Lineage: Eukaryota; Metazoa; Arthropoda; Insecta; Diptera; Drosophilidae
Also listed under: 11 other names
Source: RNAcentral
GCCCGGAUAGCUCAGUCGGUAGAGCAUCAG